Molecule: long non-coding RNA, 718 nt
Organism: Coffea eugenioides
Lineage: Eukaryota; Viridiplantae; Streptophyta; Magnoliopsida; Gentianales; Rubiaceae
Exons: 2
Source: RefSeq, a predicted model, not a curated record
AGGAUUAAGCUUAUUGGCAAGCCACCAGAGCACGAUAUUCAUAGUCCCUUAUAAUAGCUGAUUCAUCAGCACUCAUUUUUGGUAUCAAUAUUAUCACACGAAUCUAAAAGUCUUAAUGAAGCCAGAACGCUGUCAACCUUAUGAACAUCUACAGUAGGACACGAAGCUGCAGCGAGAUUGCUUGGACCUAUUGAGCAUAUCAUGUCAAGGUUCUCAUUGGCACCUUGACUUUCCAGGAUCUUUUCAACAUCUGAAAUGCAGUGACUGGUAUGUGUUUCAUUUAAUGCAAGCAUUCCAGUAUGGUUGCUUGACUGUCCAAGGAGAACUACAAGGCUGGCCUCAUAUUAAGGACAACAAACCACAUUUGCAAGAUAUGGUGCUAGGGAAGACCAGCAAUCCGUUGCUAUCACACUUGAUAUACUUUCAGCUGAAAAAAAGUUCAACAUACAACAUCCUGCUAAAUCAACACACAAUCAAUCGGCAAUUAAUAACAACCUCUUAUGUAGGUGAACAUGAAGAUUAAAGCAUCUUCAAGAUGUAGAAUUUUUUUUUGGAUGAAUAAAUGUCAUCAAAACACAGCCAUUCUUCUGCCCUUCCAUCUUUUUACAUCAAAUUCUUCAUCAAUCGGAAGUCUUGAUACAACCAGUUCAGAUGCAACUCAAUUACAGAACUUUAAUGUUUUAUGUAAAAAUGUACAAGCCUAAGAUAUUGCUAAUAA